GGUCAUGUGGCUUAAUGGUAGAGUGCUUGCCUCACAUGCAUGAACCACUGGGUUCAAUUCCUCAGUACCU
RNAcentral lists this transfer RNA (70 nucleotides) under Dipodomys ordii (Ord's kangaroo rat). It matches the Rfam family "tRNA". From Rfam's summary of the family: Transfer RNA (tRNA) molecules are approximately 80 nucleotides in length. The record is from Rfam by way of RNAcentral. Lineage: Eukaryota; Metazoa; Chordata; Mammalia; Rodentia; Heteromyidae.